UCAAAGUAUCAAGCUUGGCUUGUCGUUGGGCCCUUUGUCACCUGGUGACAGGUUCAGAAGAUAAUGACCGGUGUCAUAAAGACUCUAUAUGCAACGAGCUUAUAACAGCACGCAUCUAGUAGUUAUAUGGCCCGGUUGUCACCUCUUUAUUUAUCAA
RNAcentral lists this unclassified non-coding RNA (157 nucleotides) under uncultured Herpotrichiellaceae. RNAcentral's name for it is "sequence contains ITS2". Lineage: Eukaryota; Fungi; Ascomycota; Eurotiomycetes; Chaetothyriales; Herpotrichiellaceae. The record is from RNAcentral.